AACGAACGCUGGCGGCGUGGCUAAGACAUGCAAGUCGAACGGACUGCUCAAUUUAUUGGACAGUUAGUGGCGAAAGGGUUAGUAACGGGUGGGUAACGUACCCUGUGCUUUGGGAUAGCGUCAUCCCGACUUCGGUCGGGAUUUCCGAAAGGGGCGGUAAUACCAAAUAAUAUCAUUUGUCGAUAGGCGGAUGAUCAAAGAUUUAUCGGCACAGGAGCGGCCUGCCUCCUAUCAGCUUGUUGGUGAGGUAACGGCUCACCAAGGCAGCGACGGGUAGCGGGACUGAGAGGUUGGCCCGCAACAUCGGGACUGAGACACUGCCCGGACCUCCACGGAGGGCUGCAGUAACGAAUCUUGUGCAAUGGGCGAAAGCCUGACACAGCGACGCCGCGUGUAGGAGGAAGUCCUUCGGGAUGUAAACUACUGUCAGGGGGAAGAAAGUGCGCUUCGGCGCAUUGAUCUAACCCAGAGGAAGUCACGGCUAACUUCGUGCCAGCAGCCGCGGUAAGACGAAGGUGGCAAGCGUUGUUCGGUAUUACUGGGCUUAAAGCGUGUGUAGGCGGAAAGGUAAGCGUUGCGUGAAAUCCCCCGGCUUAACCGGGGAACUGCGCAACGAACUGCUUNNNNNNGAGGCAAGUAGGGGCGCAUGGAACUCUUGGUGGAGCGGUGGAAUGCGUAGAUAUCAAGAGGAACGCCAGUGGAGAAGUCGGUGCGCUGGGCUUGUUCUGACGCUGAGACACGAAAGCGUGGGUAGCGAACGGGAUUAGAUACCCCGGUAGUCCACGCCGUAAACGAUGCCUACUAGGUCGGAGGUUCUCUGACGGAGUUCCGGCCGAAACUAAAGCGAUAAGUAGGCCGCCUGGGGAGUACGGUCGCAAGGCUAAAACUCAAAGGAAUUGACGGGGGCUCACACAAGCGGUGGAGCAUGUUGCUUAAUUCGAUGCAACGCGAAGAGCCUUAUCCUGGGCUUGACAUGCUUGGAUGCUCAUCUGGAAACAGAGUAGGCUGCCCUUCGGGGUGAAACUUGCACAGGUGCUGCAUGGCUGUCGUCAGCUCGUGUCGUGAGAUGUUGGGUUAAGUCCCGUAACGAGCGAAACCCUUGUCGUUAGUUGCCAGCGCGUCAUGGCGGGGACUCUAGCGAGACUGCCGGUGUGAAACCGGAGGAAGGUGGGGAUGACGUCAAGUCCUCAUGGCCUUUAUGCCCAGGGCUGCAAACGUGCUACAAUGGCCGGUACAAACCGACGCGAGACCGCGAGGUGGAGCAAAUCGGAAAAAACCGGCCCCAGUUCGGAUUGGAGUCUGCAACUCGACUCCAUGAAGUUGGAAUCGCUAGUAAUCGUAGAUCAGCCACGCUACGGUGAAUGUGUUCCUGAGCCUUGUACACACCGCCCGUCAAGUCAUGGAAGCUGGGAGCGCCCGAAGUCGGCUCGAUACAGAGCUGCCGAAGGUGAGUUCGGUGACUGGGACG
RNAcentral lists this ribosomal RNA (1468 nucleotides) under uncultured bacterium. RNAcentral's name for it is "bacterial SSU rRNA". It matches the Rfam family "Bacterial small subunit ribosomal RNA". The record is from RNAcentral.